UGCGCGCGUACAUGACCACGAUCAGCGCCAGCGGCGCCAGGUAGAUAUGCGAGAAGAGCACGGCCGUGUAGACCUUGCGCAUGCCCUUCUCGGGCCAGGCCUCCCAGCACGAGUAGAGCGGGUAGGAGCGGUUGCGGGCGUCCACCAUGAAGUGAUGCUCCUCGCGCGUGACGGUCAGCGUGACGGCCGAGGGGCACAUGAUGAGCAGGGCCAGCGCCCAGAUAACCGCGAUGGUGACCAGCGCCUUCCGCAGGCAAUGGCCACCAGCGUGAAAACGGAAGCAGACACAGACAUGCCCUGCACCAAGCCGCUCAUCUUGCACGUGGCGUUGUCGAAGGGCCACCCUGCAAUGACAGAGGCCACCACAAAGUGAGAGAUGCCUCGUCCACAAAGAGCCAGAGGCCUGCAGCCAUCUGGGCCAGUCCCCUCUGUGGCUUGUAUCUUCCCUCCAGUCGAGCUAGGUUGUCAUUCUACCUCUGCUUACGCGCUUCCAGGAGUGAGGAGCUGACCAGCCGGUACCUCUGUGGACAGUCCUACUAGAGACAGCCUUUAUACUGACCAGCAAUUUUUCUCCAUGAGCUUUAGAUCCAUCCAGCCCUGCCUGGAUUUCUGCUCCCAUAGCCCAGCUUCAAGUUUUAGGCCAGUAGUUCUCUCCUGGCUGCUCACUAGAAUCAACUGAGAGU
Molecule: long non-coding RNA, 683 nt
Filed under: Ovis aries (sheep)
Lineage: Eukaryota; Metazoa; Chordata; Mammalia; Artiodactyla; Bovidae
Description: lncRNA (ENSOARG00000026407.1)
Source: RNAcentral